Molecule: long non-coding RNA, 717 nt
Filed under: Phasianus colchicus (ring-necked pheasant)
Lineage: Eukaryota; Metazoa; Chordata; Aves; Galliformes; Phasianidae
Description: lncRNA (ENSPCLG00000020104.1)
Source: RNAcentral
GCUGGGACCCCAGGGAGAAUGGGGGCUGAGUUUUGGGGUGCUGGGAUCCCAGGAGAAUGGGAGCUGGGUUCUGAGGUGCUGGGACCCCAGGAGAAUGGGAGCUGGGUUUUGGGGUGCUGGGAAUCCAGGGAGAAUGGGGGCUGAGUUUUGGGAUAGUGGGACCCCAGAGAAAAUGGGAGCUGGGUUUUGGGGUGCUGGGACCCUAGGGAGAAUGGGAACUGGGUUCCGAGGUGCUGGGAAUUCAGGGAGAAUGGGGGCUGAGUUUUGGGAUAGUGGGACCCCAGGGAGAAUGGGAGGUGGGUUUUGGGGUGCUGGGACCCCAGGGAGAAUGGGAGCUGGGUUUUGGGGUGCUGAGAACCCAAGGAUGAUGGAAGCUGCCUUUUGUGGUGCUGGGACUCCACACGAGGCUGAUGGGACCCCAGGCACGGCGAGAACCCACGGAAGGUGGGAUCUGGGUGUGCUGAGACCCCAAAGGUGGGCACGCGCCACGUUUCUGACCUACGGGGACCCCCCCAGCCCCCCCCAAAUGAAGGGAACCCCCCAACCCGGCCCCGUUCCCCCCGUACUUCUGCAUGGGGCUGAGCUCCACGCGGACGAUGAGCUCCGUUUUGGCCGGCAUGUUCUUGAAGACGUCGGCCUUGAGGCGUCUCAACAUGUGGGGGCCCAGCAGGUCGUGCAGCUUUUUGAUCUGAUCCUCCUUGGAGAUGUCAGCAAAUU